AGCUUUGGGACUGCGGA
RNAcentral lists this ribosomal RNA (17 nucleotides) under Psophocarpus tetragonolobus (winged bean). RNAcentral describes it as "partial small subunit ribosomal RNA". The record is from RNAcentral. Lineage: Eukaryota; Viridiplantae; Streptophyta; Magnoliopsida; Fabales; Fabaceae.